RNAcentral lists this ribosomal RNA (450 nucleotides) under uncultured bacterium. RNAcentral describes it as "partial 16S ribosomal RNA". It matches the Rfam family "Bacterial small subunit ribosomal RNA", at positions 354 to 796 of the family's 1533-position model. The record is from RNAcentral.
GUGGGGAAUUUUGGACAAUGGGCGCAAGCCUGAUCCAGCAAUGCCGCGUGCAGGAAGAAGGCCUUCGGGUUGUAAACUGCUUUUGUACGGAACGAAACGGUCCUGGCUAAUACCCGGGGCUAAUGACGGUACCGUAAGAAUAAGCACCGGCUAACUACGUGCCAGCAGCCGCGGUAAUACGUAGGGUGCGAGCGUUAAUCGGAAUUACUGGGCGUAAAGCGUGCGCAGGCGGUGCUGUAAGACAGGCGUGAAAUCCCCGGGCUCAACCUGGGAAUUGCGCUUGUGACUGCAGUGCUGGAGUGCGGCAGAGGGGGAUGGAAUUCCGCGUGUAGCAGUGAAAUGCGUAGAUAUGCGGAGGAACACCGAUGGCGAAGGCAAUCCCCUGGGCCUGCACUGACGCUCAUGCACGAAAGCGUGGGGAGCAAACAGGAUUAGAUACCCGUGUAGUCC